UACGUAGGGUCCGAGCGUUAAUCGGAAUUACUGGGCGUAAAGCGCGCGCAGGCGGUUUUGUAAGACGGAUGUGAAAUCCCCGGGCUCAACCUGGGAAUUGCGUUGGAGACUGCAAGGCUGGAGUCUGGCAGAGGGGGGUAGAAUUCAACGUGUAGCAGUGAAAUGCGUAGAGAUGUGGAGGAACACCGAUGGCGAAGGCAGCCCCCUGGGUCAAGACUGACGCUCAUGCACGAAAGCGUGGGGAGCAAACAGG
RNAcentral lists this ribosomal RNA (253 nucleotides) under uncultured bacterium. Its description in RNAcentral is "partial 16S ribosomal RNA". It matches the Rfam family "Bacterial small subunit ribosomal RNA", at positions 524 to 776 of the family's 1533-position model. The record is from RNAcentral.